CAGGUGCUAAUGGAUUUUCAUCCAAAGUUUAUGGGGAGGUUAUUGGGACUUCUUCCUAUUAUUAUUGAGAAGUUCAUGCGUAAUAAUACUGGAUUUCCAGUUUUGCAAUAAAAGAAGAUGUGCCCGAUCAACAGCUCAGAUUAUGAUAUAACAUCACAUGCUCUUGCCGAUCAAAUACUGUGCCCUUUCCUUCUUUGUCAUGGACAGUAUCUAUAAUGCUGUCGCCAUGAAAUGAUCUGAAAAGUGCUGUUCAUAUAGUUGCAUAUGCUCUUGAUGAAGCUGUGGUAGAACAGUGUCCUUCCUCCAUGUCUGUCCAGUGUUCUGUAUGGAACUAAUAAUGAAUUGGUGUUUUCAAGU
RNAcentral lists this small RNA (357 nucleotides) under Oryza sativa Japonica Group (Japanese rice). RNAcentral describes it as "sRNA OsGRP4". The record is from RNAcentral. Lineage: Eukaryota; Viridiplantae; Streptophyta; Magnoliopsida; Poales; Poaceae.